ACGGAGGUGGCAAGCGUUACUCGGUUUGACUGGGUGUAAAGGGUCCGUAGGUGGCCUUGCAAGUGAAAGGUGAAAUCCUUCUGCUCAACGGUAGAAUUGCCUUUCAAACUGCUUGGCUUGAGGGUGAAAGAGGAGAGCGGAACUGCCGGUGUAAAGGUGAAAUUUGUGGAUAUCGGCAGGAACGCCUGUGGAACAAGCGGCUCUCUGGUUCAUUCCUGACACUGAGGGACGAAAGCUAGGGGAGCAAACAG
This 251-nucleotide ribosomal RNA is filed under the name uncultured prokaryote. RNAcentral's name for it is "partial 16S rRNA". It matches the Rfam family "Bacterial small subunit ribosomal RNA", at positions 525 to 775 of the family's 1533-position model. The record is from RNAcentral.